GGUAGGUAUCUUCGGAUAUUGAGACCGGCGCACGGGUGCGUAACGCGUAUGCAAUCUACCUUUUACUAAGGGAUAGCCCAGAGAAAUUUGGAUUAAUACCUUAUAGUAUGUUUGAAUGGCAUCGUUUAAACAUUAAAGAUUUAUUGGUAAAAGAUGAGCAUGCGUCCCAUUAGUUAGUUGGCAAGGUAACGGCUUACCAAGACGAUGAUGGGUAGGGGUCCUGAGAGGGAGAUCCCCCACACUGGUACUGAGACACGGACCAGACUCCUACGGGAGGCAGCAGUGAGGAAUAUUGGUCAAUGGAGGCAACUCUGAACCAGCCAUGCCGCGUGCAGGAAGACGGUCCUAUGGAUUGUAAACUGCUUUUGUACAGGAAGAAAAAGUACCACGUGUGGUAUAUUGACGGUACUGUAAGAAUAAGGAUCGGCUAACUCCGUGCCAGCAGCCGCGGUAAUACGGAGGAUCCAAGCGUUAUCCGGAAUCAUUGGGUUUAAAGGGUCCGUAGGCGGCCUUAUAAGUCAGUGGUGAAAGUUUGCAGCUUAACUGUAAAAUUGCCAUUGAUACUGUAGGGCUUGAAUAAUUGUGAAGUAACUAGAAUAUGUAGUGUAGCGGUGAAAUGCUUAGAUAUUACAUGGAAUACCAAUUGCGAAGGCAGGUUACUAACAAUUUAUUG
Molecule: ribosomal RNA, 673 nt
Filed under: uncultured bacterium
Lineage: Bacteria
Description: bacterial SSU rRNA
Rfam family: Bacterial small subunit ribosomal RNA
Source: RNAcentral